This is a non-coding RNA of Vicugna pacos (alpaca), 666 nucleotides long. NCBI's taxonomy places the organism in Eukaryota, Metazoa, Chordata, Mammalia, Artiodactyla, Camelidae. The record is from RefSeq and is a predicted model, not a curated record.
GGACCAUAUGGUGGUUCUAUUUUUAGUUUCUCAAGGAACCUCAUACUGUUUUCUAUUGCAGCUGCACUAGUUUACUUUCCUACCAACAGUGUCCAAGGGUUCUCUUUUCUGCCCAUCCUCGAUAACAUUGGUUAUCUCUUGUCUUCUUGAUAAUAAAAAUUUAGCUGUUUUCCCAAUGCUGAUCAGAGGGACCACCAGUCUCAUGGAGAAGCCAGGCCUGAGGAAAAAGCCAGGCCAGGAAUGACUGCAUUUGCCCAGCUCUGUGUGGCUGCCUGGAUCCUGUUAAGUUCAUACUGUUGCCUAAAUAAAACGGAGCACACGGUAAGCGCAGGAGAAGGCGUGCUCUCCUCCAUGUAUGGUCACCUGAAAUGCUGCAGACUUUCAAGAUGGUGGAAGGAAUAUGGAUUUAUUUAAGAAAAAAAAUAGAAAACGCAGAUGGGCAAAAAGUUGCACGGUGACUCGUUUUUCUCUUUGACCGGCCACGUGAUAAUUGAGAGAAGGUACCUAAACUCCAGCUGCGGCGAUACCUUCAGCUGCCCCGCUUCCUUAACUUACCAAGUCUGGAGUGUUUAGUUCUGUCUUCAAGUCUGUGAGAUACCCCCCCGGACCCUUUCAAUAAAAUCUUUCUUCUGUUUAAGCUAGGGAAUCACUUUUCGGAGUGUGAUA